AUGUGUGAUUUCUGGAUCAAAGCAUGAAAAAGUCAGUGGGUGACCUUCAGCUUACUCUUUCCCUUCGUGACCUCAGGCUGUUAUGGAGGAGCCACGAGAUCAAAGCAGCCUGGAUUGCUGAGUUUCAUUCUCCUACAAGACUUACCCUGGAGAGGUGUCUGGAUGGGCCGUGGAUUUCGUAGAGGUUGGCCGGAGGGUCCACGCCAUAAGGCUACUCUACGCCAGUCAAGAAGAGGAGGGAGUGGGUCUUGAGGCCGAAGGAACAGCAAGGCCAGAGGCCCAAAGGCAAGAGACGGUAGGAAGAGUGCAUGAAGGAAAAGUGGGAAGCACAGAGUGGCAAGGAACGAAGAGUGAAUCUGCUUAUAGAUUUCCCCUCCGCAGCUUGCCUUGGUGUCUGCCUCGGAUUCUGGGACUUGGAGGACAAGGCCCAAGCAAGAUAAAUUCCAUGCCAAUACAGGAAGGAUACCCAGAUGAGCUUUGGGGAUGGAAUCAAAAUACACAACUGCAGCUCUGCUACAGAUUGCCCCUGGGAUCUUUGGCACCACCCUGGCUUCUCCGAACUCCAGUUUCUGCCUUUACGAGCAAAGGUGAAGAAAAUGGGACGAGUGCAUUUGUUUUGACAAUUCAAGGAAAUGGGAUUACCAGGAUGCAAAAGGGCAUAGUGGGCAUUCAAUAAAUGCAUUCAACACAUGUUUCUCAAACGAAAA
Molecule: long non-coding RNA, 707 nt
Organism: Leptonychotes weddellii (Weddell seal)
Lineage: Eukaryota; Metazoa; Chordata; Mammalia; Carnivora; Phocidae
Source: RefSeq, a predicted model, not a curated record